ACACAAGCACACAGGCACACACUUUCAGUCUCACACACGCACACGAUGGCAGGCAGAGGAAGAAAUCUGCCAUGAAACUUAAUCAGCGAGGGUCAUGUCGGGGAGUGAGGAACAGAUUAAAUUAGCAUAGUAUUAGAUAUGGAAAAUGAUUUCUGUCAAAACCAUCCUUACCACAAUUAUAAUAUGUUAAUUACGUAUUUCAUUAAGGGGGUUGAUUAUGGCCCUGAGAUGUUUUUAUAUUAUAUUCAUGAGUCCACUGUUGGUCCUGAGCAGUUGCUUGCUGUUCUUCAGAAAAACCCUCCAGCUCCUGCAUAUUUGAACCCUUUCCAAAAGUGGCUGUAUGAUUUUGAGAUGCACAUUUUCACACUGAGGACAACUGAAGGACUCAUACACAACUAUUACAAAAGGUGAAAACAUUUAUUGAUGCUCAAGAAGGGAACAAAAUGCAUUAAGAGCCGGGGGAGUAAACUUUUGAACAGGAUGGCGAUGACUAAAUUCUUCUCAUUUUGUUUAACGAUCAUAUUUUUUCAUUUAGUACUGGACUUCAGAAGCUACAUAAAUACUUACAUGUUUCCCAGAAGACAAAAUAAGUACAAUUUACCCUGAUCAUCAAAUUUAAAAAGUUUACACCCCUCGUCUCUUAAUGCAUUGUGUGGCCUCAGUACAUGUGAUGUGUAACGUGAUGAGAUUCAUACUUUGCUUUAAUAAAUAUAAUAUUGAUUACAUUGUUAAAGUGUUAAAGUGUAAAUGUAUAUAUAUAUAUAUAUAUAUAUAUAUAUAUAUAUAUAUAUAUAUAUAUAUAUAUAUAUAUAUAUAUAUAUAUAUAUAUAUAUAUAUAUAAUUUAAAUGGCAUUUCAGCCCCCAAGCACGAGAGUUAAUAUGACACAAACCUACUUGUGCAAAUUCUGAAUUUUGUGUAAAUUAGUUGAGCUGUGCUAAUUUUGAUGCUGUUCAGCUUUUUUGGCAAGACAAGGUUAAUUGAAGCUGUGAUGCAGAAAUGAUCGCUCUCAAACAAGUAGUACAGCAAGGCCUCGUUGAACGCCACGGCAUUGAUAAAGACAAUAUAUUGUGUGACUAUGUGGGCGCAGACGUGUUUGUGUGGACAACACUAUGUCUCAGCAUGUGUUCCUGAGCUUGCACACAACACGCAGUAUUCAUAAAGAUAAUCGAGGGGGUCGGAAAACAGAUAUUUUAAUCACUGUUGUCUUGACGCGAACAGCAAAUGUUGUAAUCGGUACAAUGACGGUGUAAUCUGCAUGUGUGUUUGCUGUUAAAACGGCAAUGUGUGAGCCGCAAGAGCUGCUGAAGAUUCUCUGUAACGCCACCUACUCAAAUUAUGGAGCAGGAACAUAUUUGCCAGGGCGAUGUGUUAGUGGGCUGGUGAGCUCAGUUUUGAUUUCUCACUAUUCUAAAUUUGCACAGCGCAAUUAUGAGUCGUACUAAGUUCGCCGAUACCAAAUAAAGCAGGUUUCUUUUUACAUCUUGUGUCAUCCAUCAAAACAGAAAGUCAUCUUCCUCUGCUAACCGAGAAAAUGCAGCAUUUAUGAAAGGACACAAAUGACUUUAUUUUAAUGGAAUGAAAGCCAAAGGUGUAGGAGUCAACACCACGGCCUGUGUGUGUGUCAGGUGUGGCUCAUGCUUGGCUGCUCCAUGACCAGUGUGUAUGUGUGUGUAGGGUUGUGUAGGGUGUUUUUGUGCAUCUCUGCAGCCCCCCCUCCCUACACAGUGAACGCUGGCAAACAGCUAAAAGCUUCAGCAGAGUGUGCCAUAUGUGAACAGAACUAAGCCAAAGCAGGGGAGCCAUAUGCACUUCAACUGCUUUUUUUAGCUAAUUAUCCCAAAAUGUCUGUUUUAUAGAACAAAUCCGUGAGUUACACUGCAUUUACCACAUAGUGCACACUCACACAGGAAAAAUGUCAAAUUAUCUACAAACAAAAUAAACAUAAAGAUAACGAUGGAGAAUUUUUUGAGGAAAGUGUAAAAGAAUAUUCAUUCAUUCAUUCAUUCAUUCAUAGUUUUUGAGUUGAAUGUUUUAUUUACAGGUUCAAAUAAUCUGUUUUUUUUUUUUUUUUUUAGUGUAUGUGAUCCACUUCUCAGCUAUUCUGGCACUUUAUUUUCUCUGUCUGGCUGAAAUAAUAUGAUUUUAUUUAUAAAGACCAUAUUCGUUUACUAUGGAAGCCCGUUUCCGCCACAGAAUUAAAAAAGUGACUUUUUAAUCUCACAGUUUGGACUUCCUUUUGCACAAUUCUGAGAACUGUGAGAUAUAAACUCAGAAUUCUGACUUUUUCUCCCAAUUUUGACUUUAUAUCACAAUUCUGACAAGUCUCACAUUUAGGAUUUUUCUUCAUUUGCGAAUUAACAUCUCAUAACUCAGAUUUUUAUUUCCAUCAUGAAAUAAAAACUUUUCAUCUUACAAUUCUGACUUUUUCUUCAUAAUUGCGAGUCAAACAGCCAGAAUUAUAAGAUAUAAAUUUGUAAUUCUGACAAAAUUAGUUCUCAGAACUACAAAUUUAUAUCUUAUAAUUCUGACUUUUUGUCUUGCAAUUGUGAAAAAAAAAAAAGUCAGAAUUGUAAGCUAAAAAGUUGCAGGUACUUUUUUUUAUUAUUCCAUGAUGGAAAUGGCUUUCAUAGUUUACUGAUUGCUAUAAUUUUUCCAUUAUUUCCAAUAUUUAUAUAUUUAUAUGUUUCUUGAUUUCAGGCCUAUCAUGUUUAAUCAUAUUUUGUUUCUAACCAUAUAUGCUUUAACUUUUUUCUAUUCUAAAACAGUCUACAAAGCAAGUAUUUAUUUACACCAAUGUAUUUAAAAAUAAAAAAUAAGCAAGCAAGUAAAUAAAUAAAUAAAUGAGUAAGUAAGUAAAUAAAUACAUAAGAAAAUAUUUGAAGGUUUAAAAUCUGAAUAUAC
Long non-coding RNA from Cyprinus carpio carpio, 2902 nucleotides. The record is from Ensembl. Lineage: Eukaryota; Metazoa; Chordata; Actinopteri; Cypriniformes; Cyprinidae.